AAUGCGAAGGCUAAAGGAAGCUGAAAGACAAGUCCUGUUCUCCUCCUAACGCUGAUACGAAGAUUCCUAACGCUGAAGAAUGGAAGAUAAGAUUAGACCAAAUCAAUCACCACGUAAGCUAGAGUGUUUUGCUUGUUCGGUGUACUUUCAUAAGAGAAGGAAGCCCAACUCCAUAAAUGCGCUAAGUGAUCCAAGUCGUGUGAGGAUGCAGGCGCAAGUCAGAGGUAAGCCGCAUAAGGUGUUUCAAGAGACUCCGCUGUAUCAGAAGCUGGGCCCCUACUCCGUUUCAAGAUAAGAAUAUGGAUAAGCUGAGGGAUCAGAGGCAUUAUAGGCAGAAUAAGGAUUAGGAUCAUCAGCAGAAUGCCCAGUUCCUGUUUCAUCGGAUUCAGAAGAUGAUCUCAAUGCAAGUAGUUUCAUCGAGAGUUUCAUCCUAUUACUAUUACUAUGUAAGAAGCCCAGAAUCCAAUUACUAUUACUAUGUAAGAAGCCCAGAAUCCAACUUGUCUAGUAGU
Molecule: long non-coding RNA, 512 nt
Filed under: Musa acuminata (dwarf banana)
Lineage: Eukaryota; Viridiplantae; Streptophyta; Magnoliopsida; Zingiberales; Musaceae
Description: long non-coding RNA (MACU_LNC007418)
Source: RNAcentral